RNAcentral lists this ribosomal RNA (486 nucleotides) under uncultured bacterium. RNAcentral's name for it is "partial 16S ribosomal RNA". It matches the Rfam family "Bacterial small subunit ribosomal RNA", at positions 30 to 507 of the family's 1533-position model. The record is from RNAcentral.
AUUGAACGCUGGCGGCAUGCCUUACACAUGCAAGUCGAACGGCAGCACGGGUGCUUGCACCUGGUGGCGAGUGGCGAACGGGUGAGUAAUACAUCGGAACAUGUCCUGUAGUGGGGGAUAGCCCGGCGAAAGCCGGAUUAAUACCGCACACGAUCUACGGAUGAAAGCGGGGGACCUUCGGGCCUCGCGCUAUAGGGUUGGCCGAUGGCUGAUUAGCUAGUUGGUGGGGUAAAGGCCUACCAAGGCGACGAUCAGUAGCUGGUCUGAGAGGACGACCAGCCACACUGGGACUGAGACACGGCCCAGACUCCUACGGGAGGCAGCAGUGGGGAAUUUUGGACAAUGGGCGAAAGCCUGAUCCAGCAAUGCCGCGUGUGUGAAGAAGGCCUUCGGGUUGUAAAGCACUUUUGUCCGGAAAGAAAUCCUUGGCCCUAAUACGGUCGGGGGAUGACGGUACCGGAAGAAUAAGCACCGGCUAACUACGUG